Molecule: ribosomal RNA, 852 nt
Filed under: Clostridioides difficile CD13
Lineage: Bacteria; Bacillati; Bacillota; Clostridia; Peptostreptococcales; Peptostreptococcaceae
Description: bacterial SSU rRNA
Rfam family: Bacterial small subunit ribosomal RNA
Source: RNAcentral
AGAGUUUGAUCCUGGCUCAGGAUGAACGCUGGCGGCGUGCCUAACACAUGCAAGUUGAGCGAUUUACUUCGGUAAAGAGCGGCGGACGGGUGAGUAACGCGUGGGUAACCUACCCUGUACACACGGAUAACAUACCGAAAGGUAUGCUAAUACGGGAUAAUAUAUUUGAGAGGCAUCUCUUGAAUAUCAAAGGUGAGCCAGUACAGGAUGGACCCGCGUCUGAUUAGCUAGUUGGUAAGGUAACGGCUUACCAAGGCGACGAUCAGUAGCCGACCUGAGAGGGUGAUCGGCCACAUUGGAACUGAGACACGGUCCAAACUCCUACGGGAGGCAGCAGUGGGGAAUAUUGCACAAUGGGCGAAAGCCUGAUGCAGCAACGCCGCGUGAGUGAUGAAGGCCUUCGGGUCGUAAAACUCUGUCCUCAAGGAAGAUAAUGACGGUACUUGAGGAGGAAGCCCCGGCUAACUACGUGCCAGCAGCCGCGGUAAUACGUAGGGGGCUAGCGUUAUCCGGAUUUACUGGGCGUAAAGGGUGCGUAGGCGGUCUUUCAAGUCAGGAGUGAAAGGCUACGGCUCAACCGUAGUAAGCUCUUGAAACUGGGAGACUUGAGUGCAGGAGAGGAGAGUGGAAUUCCUAGUGUAGCGGUGAAAUGCGUAGAUAUUAGGAGGAACACCAGUUGCGAAGGCGGCUCUCUGGACUGUAACUGACGCUGAGGCACGAAAGCGUGGGGAGCAAACAGGAUUAGAUACCCUGGUAGUCCACGCUGUAAACGAUGAGUACUAGGUGUCGGGGGUUACCCCCUCGGUGCCGCAGCUAACGCAUUAAGUACUCCGCCUGGGAAGUACGCUCGCA